RNAcentral lists this ribosomal RNA (253 nucleotides) under uncultured bacterium. RNAcentral's name for it is "partial 16S ribosomal RNA". It matches the Rfam family "Bacterial small subunit ribosomal RNA", at positions 524 to 776 of the family's 1533-position model. The record is from RNAcentral.
GACGUAGGGCGCGAGCGUUGUUCGGAUUUACUGGGCGUAAAGGGCGCGCAGGCGGCUCAUUUUGUCAGGCGUGAAAGCCCCGGGCUUAACCUGGGAACUGCGUUUGAUACGGAUGGGCUAGAGUUCGGGAGAGGAGAGUGGAAUUCCCAGUGUAGAGGUGAAAUUCGUAGAUAUUGGGAAGAACACCGGUGGCGAAGGCGGCUCUCUGGACCGAUACUGACGCUGAGGCGCGAAAGCGUGGGGAGCAAACAGG